CUGGUUUUUUGCGGAGUACAAUUCGAAGUUGCUUGAGUCAACUAAUUACAUUACUAGACGGCAAGCAGUGAAGCUGUUGGGGGAUAUACUGCUGGAUAGGUCAAAUUCAGCUGUGAUGACACGUUAUGUGAGUUCUAGGGAAAAUUUGAGAAUCCUCAUGAAUCUCCUCAGGGAGUCGAGCAAGAGCAUACAGCUAGAAGCAUUUCAUGUUUUUAAGCUUUUUGUUGCAAAUCAAAACAAACCCGCCGACAUUGUUGGCAUUCUCGUUGCAAACCGAAGCAAG
This 283-nucleotide unclassified non-coding RNA is filed under the name Hevea brasiliensis (rubber tree). The record is from RNAcentral. Lineage: Eukaryota; Viridiplantae; Streptophyta; Magnoliopsida; Malpighiales; Euphorbiaceae.